Molecule: ribosomal RNA, 415 nt
Filed under: uncultured prokaryote
Description: bacterial SSU rRNA
Rfam family: Bacterial small subunit ribosomal RNA
Source: RNAcentral
GUGCCAGCAGCCGCGGUAAUACGUAGGGGGCGAGCGUUGUUCGGAUUUACUGGGCGUAAAGAGCGCGUAGGUGGUUCGAUAAGUCGGAGGUGAAAUCCCUCGGCUCAACCGAGGACCCGCGUCCGAUACUGUCGAACUUGAGUACAGGAGAGGAGAGCGGAAUUCCCAGUGUAGCGGUGAAAUGCGUAGAUAUUGGGAAGAACACCGGUGGCGAAGGCGGCUCUCUGGACUGUCACUGACACUGAGGCGCGAAAGCUAGGGGAGCAAACGGGAUUAGAUACCCCGGUAGUCCUAGCCGUAAACGAUGGGCACUAGGUGUGGGAGGUAUCGACCCCUUCCGUGCCGCAGCUAACGCAUUAAGUGCCCCGCCUGGGGAGUACGGCCGCAAGGUUGAAACUCAAAUGAAUUGACGGGG